UACGAAGGGGGCUAGCGUUGCUCGGAAUCACUGGGCGUAAAGCGCACGUAGGCGGAUCCUUAAGUCAGGGGUGAAAUCCUGGAGCUCAACUCCAGAACUGCCUUUGAUACUGAGGAUCUUGAGUACGGGAGAGGUGAGUGGAACUGCGAGUGUAGAGGUGAAAUUCGUAGAUAUUCGCAAGAACACCAGUGGCGAAGGCGGCUCACUGGCCCGUAACUGACGCUGAGGCACGAAAGCGUGGGGAGCAAACAGG
This 253-nucleotide ribosomal RNA is filed under the name uncultured bacterium. RNAcentral describes it as "partial 16S ribosomal RNA". It matches the Rfam family "Bacterial small subunit ribosomal RNA", at positions 524 to 776 of the family's 1533-position model. The record is from RNAcentral.